AUUGGAUAACACAUGUUACACGUUGGAGUUAAUCACUAGACCGUGAAACCACAAAAAAUCAAGGAGUGUUUUUUUUUACAUGGAAUGGAAUAUAAGCACUAGGUUAUACAUAAUUGGAAAUUAAUAUUGGAGCAUAAUGUUCAUUUUUGCCUCUGGUUACAAUUAAUAUAAUAAUGUCACUUCUGUGGUCAGUAAGCAUAAGCGUAAGAGGGGACUGAACACCAUGUCUGGCACUCAACUUUCACUUUCUGGGAGCUGAGUAGUCAGGAGACCAACAGUGAGCAUGGCCAAUAACAUCCCCAGCAAGUAUAUAUGAUUUCAAAAUACAACAAAGGGGCUGUGUCAACUUGCUGAGACUCUAGAAGGGAACUUCCUUC
RNAcentral lists this long non-coding RNA (377 nucleotides) under Homo sapiens (human). Its description in RNAcentral is "non-protein coding lnc-NEMF-5:1". The record is from RNAcentral. Lineage: Eukaryota; Metazoa; Chordata; Mammalia; Primates; Hominidae.